RNAcentral lists this ribosomal RNA (495 nucleotides) under uncultured bacterium. RNAcentral's name for it is "partial 16S ribosomal RNA". It matches the Rfam family "Bacterial small subunit ribosomal RNA", at positions 28 to 507 of the family's 1533-position model. The record is from RNAcentral.
GACGAACGCUGGCGGCGUGCCUAAUACAUGCAAGUAGAACGCUGAAGGAGGAGCUUGCUUCUCUGGAUGAGUUGCGAACGGGUGAGUAACGCGUAGGUAACCUGCCUGGUAGCGGGGGAUAACUAUUGGAAACGAUAGCUAAUAUCGCAUAAGAGUAGAUGUCGCAUGACAUUUGCUUAAAAGGUGCAAUUGCAUCACUACCAGAUGGACCUGCGUUGUAUUAGCUAGUUGGUGAGGUAACGGCUCACCAAGGCAACGAUACAUAGCCGACCUGAGAGGGUGAUCGGCCACACUGGGACUGAGACACGGCCCAGACUCCUACGGGAGGCAGCAGUAGGGAAUCUUCGGCAAUGGACGGAAGUCUGACCGAGCAACGCCGCGUGAGUGAAGAAGGUUUUCGGAUCGUAAAGCUCUGUUGUAGGAGAAGAACGAGUGUGAGAGUGGAAAGUUCACACUGUGACGGUAUCUUACCAGAAAGGGACGGCUAACUACGUG